Molecule: unclassified non-coding RNA, 22 nt
Filed under: Mus musculus (house mouse)
Lineage: Eukaryota; Metazoa; Chordata; Mammalia; Rodentia; Muridae
Description: oocyte_clustered_small_RNA8380
Source: RNAcentral
UUGAGAUGAUUAAGCUUGUGAG